RNAcentral lists this long non-coding RNA (219 nucleotides) under Setaria italica (foxtail millet). Its description in RNAcentral is "long non-coding RNA (SITA_LNC004941)". The record is from RNAcentral. Lineage: Eukaryota; Viridiplantae; Streptophyta; Magnoliopsida; Poales; Poaceae.
GCUGCUAAGUGGACCCACCGUAGUCGUCAGCUCGGGCACGGUCGCCGGAGGAUGACGGGGCGAGGCGCGCUGCCGCUAGGUGGACUCCUAUGGCCGCCGGCGCGGGGCAAACCCGGGUGCAGCCACUGGAGGAGGCCGGUGCCGGGGCACGUUGCGGCCCGGCGGAUCCCGGUGCACCCGUCGGCAGAGGAGGACAGGGCCGGGGUGCGUGGAGGUGGC